This is a transfer RNA of Loxodonta africana (African savanna elephant), 68 nucleotides long. It matches the Rfam family "tRNA". Rfam says of the family: Transfer RNA (tRNA) molecules are approximately 80 nucleotides in length. Their secondary structure includes four short double-helical elements and three loops (D, anti-codon, and T loops). Lineage: Eukaryota; Metazoa; Chordata; Mammalia; Proboscidea; Elephantidae. The record is from Rfam.
CAAAGUGUAGCUUAACAGAAAGCAUCUGGCUUACACCUAGAAGACCUCAUUCAUAAUGAUCACUUUGA